UACGGAAGGUCCGGGCGUUAUCCGGAUUUAUUGGGUUUAAAGGGAGCGUAGGCCGGCUUUUAAGUCAGCUGUGAAAGUCCGCGGCUCAACCGUGGAAUUGCAGUUGAAACUGGAGGCCUUGAGUACAGGAGGGGCAGGCGGAAUUCCUGGUGUAGCGGUGAAAUGCGUAGAUAUCAGGAGGAACACCGGCGGCGAAGGCGGCCUGCUGGACUGAAACUGACGUUGAGGCUCGAAAGCGUGGGGAGCAAACAGG
Molecule: ribosomal RNA, 253 nt
Filed under: uncultured bacterium
Lineage: Bacteria
Description: partial 16S ribosomal RNA
Rfam family: Bacterial small subunit ribosomal RNA
Source: RNAcentral